RNAcentral lists this ribosomal RNA (254 nucleotides) under uncultured bacterium. RNAcentral's name for it is "partial 16S ribosomal RNA". It matches the Rfam family "Bacterial small subunit ribosomal RNA", at positions 524 to 776 of the family's 1533-position model. The record is from RNAcentral.
UACGUAGGCAGCAAGCGUUGUUCGGAGUUACUGGGCGUAAAGGGUGCGUAGGCGGCCCUGUAAGUAUGGUGUGAAAUCUCCCGGCUUAACUGGGAGGGUGCGCUAUAGACUGCGGGGCUCGAGUGUGGGAGAGGAAAGUGGAAUUCCUGGUGUAGCGGUGAAAUGCGUAGAUAUCAGGAGGAACACCGGUGGUGUAAACGGCUUUCUGGACCAUAACUGACGCUGAGGCACGAAAAGCGUGGGUAGCAAACAGG